This 207-nucleotide ribosomal RNA is filed under the name uncultured bacterium. Its description in RNAcentral is "partial 16S ribosomal RNA". It matches the Rfam family "Bacterial small subunit ribosomal RNA", at positions 568 to 774 of the family's 1533-position model. The record is from RNAcentral.
CGCGUAGGCGGACUUUUAAGUCAGAUGUGAAAUCCCGGGGCUCAACCCCGGAACAGCAUUUGAAACUGAAAGUCUUGAGGGUAGAAGGAGAAAAUGGAAUUCCACAAGUAGCGGUGAAAUGCGUAGAUAUGUGGAAGAACACCGGUGGCGAAGGCGAUUUUCUAUUUUAUUCCUGACGCUGAGGCGCGAAAGUGUGGGGAGCAAACA